Molecule: long non-coding RNA, 268 nt
Filed under: Elaeis guineensis (African oil palm)
Lineage: Eukaryota; Viridiplantae; Streptophyta; Magnoliopsida; Arecales; Arecaceae
Description: long non-coding RNA (EGUI_LNC064845)
Source: RNAcentral
AGCAGGAUUUAAGAACCACAUGAUAAAUUCUCCUUUAUCAUUUUAAAAGUAGUUCUAAAGAUUUUAUCAUAACAUAUGAGUUCUAUUUAGUAAGAUGUAUUCUUUAUGAUGAAUCUACCAUAUAACAUUUAUCAUUUUUAUAAUUUAUAUACAUAUAUGAAGUGCAAUCAUCUACAACUUAGAUGAUUGGCUUUAAGAUACAUUUUUCAACAACUCCCACUUGGACUAAAGCCAAUCAGAUUGGUAUCAAAUAUCCAUCUUCCAUUUG